Portunus trituberculatus (swimming crab) is the source of this 644-nucleotide long non-coding RNA. RefSeq lists it as uncharacterized. NCBI's taxonomy places the organism in Eukaryota, Metazoa, Arthropoda, Malacostraca, Decapoda, Portunidae. The transcript has 3 exons. The record is from RefSeq and is a predicted model, not a curated record.
UUACAUUUUUUUCCCUUGCUUUCCGGCUUAUUCUUCUUUCUUUCCCUUCAUUGUCAUUUUUUUCGUUUUUUUCCUGUUUCCUUCCAUUCUUUUCUUUUCUUAUCCUAUUCUUCACUUUUCCUCUCGCUUCGUUUUAUUUUUACUUUUGCCCCACUUUCUCUCCGUUUAUUUUCCUCCUUUUGUGUUUCCUCUCUUACCACAACUGGCUGACUUUGAAACCAACCACUGUAGUAACACGAUUUGUUUUCUUAUUUCAUUCUUUCUUUCAUUUUCUUUAUCCUCUUCCUCUCUCUGUAUGUGAACGUGAGCGUGCGUGCGUGUAUGUGUAUGUGUAUGUCUCUCUCUUUCCCUGUUUCUCUUUCUCCCCCACCCUGGACACACUUCCUUUUGUUGUUGUUAUCUUUUUUUUUUCGUUUACCCUUCCUCUCGCUCCAAGCUCGCCAUUUCAUACAUUCUUGCUCCCAGUGCCCGGCGUGGCGAGGCGCACGAGUGGAGAAACUUGCUAACCUUUCAUACAGUGUCAUGCUUGCGCCAUACAUUGUAAACAUGGUGUCGAAAUUUUGACAGGAGAACUACGAAUGAAAAAGGAGCUGGUCAGAGAGAGAGAGAGAGAGAGAGAGAGAGAGAGAAAGAGAGUGUGUGUG